RNAcentral lists this ribosomal RNA (424 nucleotides) under Verrucomicrobiota bacterium. RNAcentral's name for it is "Verrucomicrobia bacterium partial 16S ribosomal RNA". It matches the Rfam family "Bacterial small subunit ribosomal RNA", at positions 355 to 776 of the family's 1533-position model. The record is from RNAcentral. Lineage: Bacteria; Pseudomonadati; Verrucomicrobiota.
UGAGGAAUAUUGGUCAAUGGGCGAGAGCCUGAACCAGCCAAGUAGCGUGCAGGAUGACGGCCCUAUGGGUUGUAAACUGCUUUUAUAUGGGAAUAAAGUGAGGGACGUGUCCCUUAUUGCAUGUACCAUACGAAUAAGGACCGGCUAAUUCCUUGCCAGCAGCCGCGGUAAUACGGAAGGUCCAGGCGUUAUCCGGAUUUACUGGGUUUAAAGGGAGCGUAGGCUGUUUGUUAAGCGUGUUGUGAAAUGUAGGAGCUCAACUUUUAGAUUGCAGCGCGAACUGGCAGACUUGAGUGCGCACAACGUAGGCGGAAUUCAUGGUGUAGCGGUGAAAUGCUUAGAUAUCAUGACGAACUCCGAUUGCGAAGGCAGCUUACGGGAGCGCAACUGACGCUAAAGCUCGAAGGUGCGGGUAUCGAACAGG